ACCUAGGCACACAGAGGCGAGGAAUCAAGAGUGAAUUC
This 38-nucleotide ribosomal RNA is filed under the name Kryptousia microlepis CENA334. Its description in RNAcentral is "partial 23S ribosomal RNA". The record is from RNAcentral. Lineage: Bacteria; Bacillati; Cyanobacteriota; Cyanophyceae; Nostocales; Tolypothrichaceae.